GGGGGUCUUCCGGAAGGAUCAUUACCGAGUUUACAACUCCCAAACCCAAUGUGAACGUUACCAAACUGUUGCCUCGGCGGGGUCACGCCCCGGGUGCGUCGCAGCCCCGGAACCAGGCGCCCGCCGGAGGAACCAACCAAACUCUUUCUGUAGUCCCCUCGCGGACGUAUUUCUUACAGCUCUGAGCAAAAAUUCAAAAUGAAUCAAAACUUUCAACAACGGAUCUCUUGGUUCUGGCAUCGAUGAAGAACGCAGCGAAAUGCGAUAAGUAAUGUGAAUUGCAGAAUUCAGUGAAUCAUCGAAUCUUUGAACGCACAUUGCGCCCGCCAGUAUUCUGGCGGGCAUGCCUGUCCGAGCGUCAUUUCAACCCUCGAACCCCUCCGGGGGAUCGGCGUUGGGGAUCGGGACCCCUCACACGGGUGCCGGCCCCUAAAUACAGUGGCGGUCUCGCCGCAGCCUCUCCUGCGCAGUAGUUUGCACAACUCGCACCGGGAGCGCGGCGCGUCCACGUCCGUAAAACACCCAACUUUCUGAAAUGUUGACCUCGGAUCAGGUAGGAAUACCCGCUGAACUUAAGCAUAUCAAUAAGGCGGAAGAAAAA
Molecule: ribosomal RNA, 601 nt
Filed under: Trichoderma asperellum
Lineage: Eukaryota; Fungi; Ascomycota; Sordariomycetes; Hypocreales; Hypocreaceae
Description: eukaryotic LSU rRNA
Rfam family: 5.8S ribosomal RNA (bases 208-361)
Source: RNAcentral